UCUCUAAGCAAUGGAUGUCUUGGCUCCUCACACGAUGAAGAACGUGGCAUAAUGUGUUAAGUAACCGGAGUUGCAUACAUCAUGACAGGUUAAUCUUUGAAUGCAAAUUGCGCUUUUCUCGUUGCAAGACGAGCGAGCAUGCGUGCGACAGUACACAUUAAUUUAUAA
RNAcentral lists this ribosomal RNA (168 nucleotides) under Trichomonas sp. RNAcentral's name for it is "5.8S ribosomal RNA". It matches the Rfam family "5.8S ribosomal RNA". Rfam says of the family: 5.8S ribosomal RNA (5.8S rRNA) is a component of the large subunit of the eukaryotic ribosome. The record is from RNAcentral. Lineage: Eukaryota; Parabasalia; Trichomonadida; Trichomonadidae.